Molecule: ribosomal RNA, 566 nt
Filed under: uncultured archaeon
Lineage: Archaea
Description: bacterial SSU rRNA
Rfam family: Archaeal small subunit ribosomal RNA
Source: RNAcentral
CGGGGUGCACCAGGCGCGAAAACUUUACAAUGCCGGCAACGGCGAUAAGGGAACCUCGAGUGCCAGGUUACAAAUCUGGCUGUCGUGAUGCCUAAAAAGCAUUGCAUAGCAAGGGCCGGGCAAGACCGGUGCCAGCCGCCGCGGUAACACCGGCGGCUCGAGUGGUAACCGUUAUUAUUGGGUCUAAAGGGUCUGUAGCCGGCCGGAUAAGUCUCUUGGGAAAUCUGGCAGCUUAACUGUCAGGCUUUCAGGAGAUACUGUCUGGCUCGAGGCCGGGAGAGGUGAGAGGUACUUCAGGGGUAGGGGUGAAAUCUUGUAAUCCUUGAAGGACCACCAGUGGCGAAGGCGUCUCACCAGAACGGACCUGACGGCAAGGGACGAAAGCUAGGGGCACGAACCGGAUUAGAUACCCGGGUAGUCCUAGCCGUAAACGAUACUCGCUAGGUGUCGGCCACGGUGCGACCGUGGUCGGUGCCGUAGGGAAGCCGUGAAGCGAGCCACCUGGGAAGUACGGCCGCAAGGCUGAAACUUAAAGGAAUUGGCGGGGGAGCACAAGGGCGAAUCGC